Xenopus laevis (African clawed frog) is the source of this 1328-nucleotide long non-coding RNA. RefSeq lists it as uncharacterized. The transcript is spliced from 3 exons. NCBI's taxonomy places the organism in Eukaryota, Metazoa, Chordata, Amphibia, Anura, Pipidae. The record is from RefSeq and is a predicted model, not a curated record.
UAGGAACAGUCACAGCACAAAAUGAAAAUAAUUCAUCUGAACUGAGCCAGGCCAAGAAACUUUGUUAGUUAGUGGUGGAUAGAGAAAGUGUGUGGAGUGACAAAUGCAGGAGAUGAAAGAAAAAAUCAUGACUUUUUAGUAACAAUUCGGGGCUGUUGGCUGAGCUAUCAAAAUCGAGACUGUCCAACGAAAAAUGGGACAUUUGGGAGGUAUGGAGAUGACUUUCCUGUAAUGAAGCUCUCUGGAUAAUACACAGUAACAUACAGGUCCAGAAAUGCAAGAAAAUAGACCAUUCCGAAGAAUCGCUGUGAAGCAGAGCCCUUAAAAAAAUCUGAACCUUCCGUUAACACCCUCAUUUUUCCUGCAUGGACCGGCUCAUUAAUACUUCUUAAGUGAAUGUACUUUUUGGCUGUUUGGAGUGUUUGAUAUUUUCCACUCUGCGUGUCAAGGGCAUUUACAAUUGGCGUCAGAAUGUUCAGUCAGUCUGAGGGAGGCACUUUGAAGUGCUUGUGGUAUUGCCACAUGUGCAGGCAAGAUGUUCUCUCCUUUCCCUCAGCUUCUAUUUAGCUGGGAUUCUCUGCACCAUGUGACAAUCAACAACAUGACUUAACCAUUUACUCCACUCAGUUCGUGCCCCAUAGGCAAUUGCUCCCAUUUACGUCUUCCGAGAUUCUCUCAGGAACAGCAGCGAGAGAUCCAUCUUUCCCUUUAGCGGUUAACAUAUUAACUCUUUUCCUUGUAAGGAAGAAACACAAUUAAAUUCCCUUUUGAGAAUAUCAUUCUUGUGAGGUCACAGGUCUAGAGAUUUCCAGUGGAAACAAUUUCAGUGUUUCACACCCACUAUGGUACAUUCAACUAAAAAAUCCACUGGGUUAUGGAGACACUGCUCCACUGGGAGUAACAUGAGAAAUCUGUCUUCAGCAUGUCCCAGUUCCGACUCAAAUUCGGCCCUUCCUUCUGUUUUUAUUUAUGGCUUUCAUAGGCAUAUCACCUUACACAUUCCUUGCACAACAUCAUUUAUCUUGUAUAUAACACAUCUCAUGACUUUUUACAUUUGUAUGUUCCACUCUCAGCUUCACAAUGAAGACUGGUUGGAAUUUUUCACGGUCGCAAAAUGAGCGAGUGGCCAGUAGUGAUAGCAUCUCAUUGUCCAAGUGGUAAUUGAAUGAGUUUAUUUGUGAUCGAUAAAAAUACCUUUCAAAUACAUAAUGGCAUUACCCUGUUGUAAAAUAUAAUGUACACCCUCUGGUAAAAUAUAAGGAUAUUCUAAGUUACCAAAGAGUUCCAUCCAGAAAAAUGCCAGCAGCACACCGAGUCUGGUUGUAGUU